Molecule: ribosomal RNA, 442 nt
Filed under: uncultured bacterium
Lineage: Bacteria
Description: bacterial SSU rRNA
Rfam family: Bacterial small subunit ribosomal RNA
Source: RNAcentral
AACGCGAAGAACCUUACCUGGGUUGGAACCCUCCAGAAGUCCGCAGAGAUGUGGAUGUGCCCGCAAGGGAAUUGGAUGUCCAGGUGCUGCAUGGCUGUCGUCAGCUCGUGUCGUGAGAUGUUGGGUUAAGUCCCGCAACGAGCGCAACCCUCACCCUUAGUUGCUCGUCCGCAAGGAAAGCACCCUAAGGGAACUGCCUCGGAUAACGGGGAGGAAGGUGGGGAUGACGUCAAGUCCUCAUGGCCUUUAUGUCCAGGGCUACACACGUGCUACAAUGGCCGGUACAAACCGUCGCUAACCCGCGAGGGGGAGCCAAUCGGAAAAAACCGGUCUCAGUUCGGAUUGCAGGCUGCAACUCGCCUGCAUGAAGCUGGAAUCGCUAGUAAUCACGUAUCAGAACGACGUGGUGAAUACGUUCCCGGGCCUUGUACACACCGCUAUC